RNAcentral lists this transfer RNA (76 nucleotides) under Euborellia arcanum. RNAcentral's name for it is "tRNA-Trp". Lineage: Eukaryota; Metazoa; Arthropoda; Insecta; Dermaptera; Anisolabididae. The record is from RNAcentral.
AGGGCUUUAAGUUAAUUAAACUGCUAGUUUUCAAAGCUGGUAAUAUGACAAUAUAGUUAUUACGUUUUAAGUCUUG